Molecule: long non-coding RNA, 1001 nt
Organism: Bufo bufo (common toad)
Lineage: Eukaryota; Metazoa; Chordata; Amphibia; Anura; Bufonidae
Exons: 2
Source: RefSeq, a predicted model, not a curated record
GGUCCGCAUCCGUGAUGCGGAACGGCACCCGUGUAUUGUGGAUCCGCAAAUGCGGUCCGCAACACGUCCCGUGUGAAAGAGGCCUUAGUAAAUGUGCCCCACUCAUCACUGUUUGUGCCCAAGGAUCACCUAAUCUUUCCUUGGCGGCACAAAUGCGUCAGUUACCUGGCAUAACCUGUAGGAGGCAAGUCAGCGGACAAUCAUUUACAUUUUAGCCAUUGCAUUUUCAGGUCUUAAACACUGAUUUGAAUGAAGCUGCGCGGUGCUCAGGCGCUGCUCCAUUCCUCCCAGUUGCAGGCAUGUGGCUGGGGGAGGGGCAGGGAGCCAGAUUUUUUCACCUAUCCGGUGGAUAGCUAAUGAAUGCUUCUCGCUAGAAUACCCCUUUAAUUUCACACCGUACAUUGCCUGAUAGACUUUAGAAAGUUUUUUAACUUUACUUUUAGUAUUUCUUACUUUAACGAUGCAAACAAAUGGCCAAUACCAAUGCAUCUGGAAGCGCUCUAAUGAUAAGCUGACUGUGGGGAGUCCCCAAAGCGAAGAAGAAAUGAAGCAUUCAUUCAAAUCAAAGGGGUGUCCAUGUCCUCCAGCUCUUUUUUUGAUGGAUCCUGAUCCAUAUGUCCCGGUAUGAAAGAGACUUGUCUAAACCAGGCAUGCUCAGCCUGCGGCCCUCCAGCUGUUGCAAAACUACAACUCCCAGCAUGCCUGAACAGCCUACAGCAGGGCAUGGUGGGAGUUGUAGUUUUACAACAGCUGGAGGGCCACAGGUUGAGCAUCCCUGAAAAGGAAACCUGCCGCCAUGAAAAUGCUGUCCAAUCUACCAGCAGCAUGUUAUAAAGCAGAGUAGUAGAAGUAGUCAUUUACUGAUAGAAAAUGUUAUGGGCUUAGGAGUCCAGUGGGCGGAGUUGACAGCCUUCUCUGUAUGAGGGUGCAGGCUCACUGGACUCCUAUGGUCAGAGCAGAGAUUUCAAUGAAUCAAUUACACAUUUUACUGAAUCUUUUCC